UGUCCAGGGAUGGGAAUCGAACCCACUGUGUUCCGCUUACCGGGCAGAUGCCAUGUCCACUAGGCUACCCUAGC
Molecule: transfer RNA, 74 nt
Filed under: Cordylochernes scorpioides
Lineage: Eukaryota; Metazoa; Arthropoda; Arachnida; Pseudoscorpiones; Chernetidae
Description: tRNA-Thr
Source: RNAcentral